UCUCUCUCUUUCCUAUUCGGGUAUACCCUAGAGGCGCCACCUCUGAGCUCUCUCCCUCUCUCAUCACGCAGAUGGAUAAUAUUCCGAGCAUGCACGGUCCUCACAGAUGUAGUACAGCCCGAAUCAUGAAAAUAAUUAAUGUUUGGUCUCCUUUCCAUUCAAACUUGUCCCAAACGGUACUAAAAUCCCUCCUUUUAUUCUUUCGUUGCAUUUUUAAGUCAAAAUUACGAUUUUUCUGUCAAUUAAUGUUAUAUUGCUUUAUGAUUUUGUGCUAUUUUCUAUUGGUCUUCGUGGGUUGACUCAGAUCGACUUUGAAAGGAACGAAUCUGGUCGUAGAUGUUGUUUUACUUUAAAUCUUAGAUGUUGAAUUCAUUUUCACUUGAAAAAUAGGAUUUGUACCACAUUGUGGUUUCAGUAUUUUGCACAGCCUUGGGGGUUCUAUAAAUAGGAUCUCAACCUUAAGAAGUGGAAGAGGUUUUGGAAGGUGAAAAAAAUGAUAGCAAAAUAUAGAGGAAUUUGAGAGUAAAAAGAAGUUGAAAAACUCAGAUUUUUUGAAAAAACUUCUUAAUAAAAAUAUAUAUUAUUUUUAAAACCCAGACUGAAUAGUUGGGGCUUUUAGUCAAAAUAUUUGGUCCUUACUUCAUUUCUUUUUUCGUGUGGGUGUGGCUGGGUUGCUGAGAUUUGGAAGCACAGAGGCUCCCAAAUCCGUUCUUUUCUUGGCUGCGCACUUAAAAGGAAAUGGUUGGAUCAGUUGGAUGACGGAUGAUGAUUUGGAAAUUGUAAUAAAACUGGACAAGGGAAAAGCUGUUUUCAAAAGAGGUAUACUGAUUAUUUUGGCAAAUAAAGUAGAAGAGUCUUUUAUUUUGUGAAGAUAACAUGAUGAUAUAUGACAAAACCUUUAACAAUUGGUUAAGUUAGGAUCAUGAUUUCGACCCUAUGUAGAUUCUAUGUGCAUUGAUGUGGUUUCAACCUGUAUUUUUUAAAAGGUGAUUUGUUCUCCCUUGCAUCCUAAGUCCUAAUAGUGCCUCUUUUGAAAAUAAGGAGGUCAGUGGUUCUGUGUUUAGUCAAGAUAGCAAUGAAGGCUGAUUUUUUUUUUUUGGGGGGGGGGGGGGGGGGUGUUAUAUCUGACCCUUUUCUUUAUGACACUUUGAACAAUAAGUCAUGCUCCCUUUCCAUCUUCUCCCUUGAACUGUGUUGUGAAUCCAUUAAUCUAAGGGCCCCAGUAAUAGAUGAAGCUGAGCCUAAUCUGGUUAUGUUGAAGAAUUAGUUUUCCUUCUGAGCAACAUUAAAGGUUAGUUAGAAAUAUGUGAUACUUGUCCAAUUUUGAAAAAGAUGAAGAUUAAGAAUAAGACCAUAACUAAAUUAGGUGCAUCCCUUUAAAAAAUUAAUUUAGACCUUUCUGUAAAUGAGAUAGAAUCAAGAGUAAAAGUUAGGAAAAUUCUAAACUCUGAACUUAGAAAAAUGUGGAAUUUCUAUGCAUUUUUGAGACUUUGACCUUCCUACUUGCUUAAGUUAUGUAUAAAGAUGUAACUGUUGUACCUGAGACUUGUAUAUCCUAUAUGGGAACCUGAUGACUUGAAGGUCUCUUGGCAGUUUUUUCUACGAAUGAUCCUAUCUUGGUUUUCAUUACUGCUUGUGUCUUGAAUUGGGUUUUGUGAGAAAUAAUAUAGCAUCAUAUCAAUAAAGGGUUGUUCCAUUUUAAAGAGACUUCCUGAUUUGCACCUGCCUGGUUCUGUUAUGCUAUAUCUAUGGAGAUUAUGGUUUGGAUCCUCCUGUUUAUCCUUUGUCUUCUCUAGAAGAAUCACUUAGACUUUGGAACAUAAUAUCCUAAAAAUGGCAAGAGUCUUCACUUGAAUUUUCCAUAAACUGUCUAGGCUCAUUUGAGGGUUAUGCUUAGAUAAUUUUACAUAUACUUCAUGUAUACUAAACCUGUUGUGAUUUUACUAUACCUAGAAGAUAGUUCUUCCUUAUCCUUAUGUGUCUCUAUACUUUAUCACAUCUGCCUGAUUCAAUAUUGUCCAGAAUGACAUUAUUUUCACAUGACUAUCACUGUUGUGAUUAUUUGGUUUAAGUUCAGUCUAGGCUGUACUAUGCCCAUACAGAUCACUUUUAUUUUCAUACUCAAGUAAUUUUAUCUCUCCUCUACUUGUUUCAUAUGUUCUUGUUGGCUGAUGGUUGUUCCAUACACAUGUGUAUUGGGCCUAUCCUAUUUGUUCUAAGCCAUGUGUGGGUGUAUGUGGAUCGGUGUCUUUCAUGGUUGUUGGUUGAAAGGUAGUUUAUGUAAAAAAGGGAUCUAGUUUGAACCAUUUCCUAGUGACCAGCCACGUCGGAGGUUCAUGAAACCUCUUGGAACUUGUGCGGCAUCAGGAAUAAAAGGGGUGAUGACUUGGGACUUGGCCUUCCACCACCUAGUUUGGAAUUUUGAGUUUGAGGACAUGGAACAUACAUAUGCCCCUCACAUGAGCUUAUGAAUAAAUAGGCUAUGUUUCUUAUAUGUGUGUAUAUUUAUGUAUAGAAUGGAUUUAUAAACUGUAGUGUGUUACGUAUAAUAUGUGCAUAUAUCAUAUGUAUGAUAGGAACAGUAAAUAUAAACUAACCGGGGUCUUUUGUUUUUUCCCUUUCUAUUGCAUGGCCACUUGGGCCGAAGUCCAUCCACCCUAUUCGAGUCCAAAAAAAAGGAAGAAAGGGAAGCUAAUAUAUUGAAGGCCCAAUUGUUGACACGCAAUUUUGUCCCACUUUUUCUUCAAUUAAUUUUAUCUGUGCUUCUUGAUCGUUAAUAAUUUGGACGAGUUAUUUCAAAUUUACUUAAGAAAGCACUGUAUUAAUAUUUUCAAUAUUUAUUGCACGGUUAUUUAUUUUAAUAAGAGGUUAUAUUAUAUAUAUCUGAAAGUGGCUAAUCCUAGUCCAAAUUAUUUAGAUGAAGAUGUCCAAAUAAAUUAAUUAGGAGAAGAAAAUACCCAACAAUUUCAGUCAUUUGAAGCCAUUUUUACAAGUCCAAUUCGGACCAGCCCAUUUUUUUAAAUUCUACCCGAUCCAACCCAUUUUCCUUUUCACCCAGUCCAGCCCAAUUAACUCCCAUUUCAGACCAACCCAGUCCAUUACCUAAAACGACCCGACCCGACCGGCCCAACCCAUUUCCCUUCAAUUGUUCAUCAUCAGCUAAACAAAAGGAAAACCUAGCCGCACUCUCUCUCUCAUCUCUCUCUCUUCGUCAUCUUCCUCUCUUCCUCCCCAUUUCUAGCCAAAACCCUAAUCCCUUUUGCCAUUUCAGACCAUGCUCGGCCAUUUUGGGCAAGAUUUUAUUGAAAUCUGUCGUCUUCUUCAUCUCUCUCCCUCUCCACUUCUAGAAAAAGCCUAAUCCCCUUUAACCGAAUUCAGACCGUGCCCUUUCCAUUUUCACGAAAUCUUUUGCUUUAACAUAAAACUUUCAGAAGUUCACUGCAAAAGAUCAAAAAACGAACAGCUUUAUUCAAAUUCAACGGCUCGUUUUUGACUCGUUUUCGAAAUUCAAGUUCAAAAAUCCCGCCUGAAAAUCUAAAACCCUAAACAUCGCCUAUAAAUACUCUCUUAUACUCUCAGCCAAAAAAAAAAAAAAGAGGACGAAUCCCUACUCUCUGUUUUUUAAGUAUCUGGUUCAAUUCAAAAAAAAAAAUGGAUUGGAAAACGCGAGUAUUUUUCUGUCACAAGAACCUUGAGUUCCUUUUUUUCAAAAUCUGGUCUGAACCCUACUUACAUUUUGAAAUUCUGGACACAAACAUAAUUUCCCCUUUUUUUUAAACGAGAGUAUACUGUUUCUGUCGAUAUCGAGACUUUCGAUUCGAAAGGUUUGUCAAAUUUGAGUUCGUCGUGUUCGAACGUAGAUUCAAGACUCAUACCCCUGUUCACUGCACACGACAAAGGUCAGUGCAAUCCCUUCCUUCCAUUUUUUGGUUCGUUUUGAUUUAUGACGUGUGUUUGGAUUCCCUGUUUGCACGUUUAAAGUGUUUUAGUUUCAAGUUGGUGCUGCGAUAAAGCUUGUAUGUCCGAUGUCGCAAAAUAGGAAGUUAUGACCGAUGUCGUAAAAUAAGAAGUUACAUUUAUCUUUUUGAUAAUGGUUGUUGCUCAUUUAGUAUAUUCAGUGUUUCACUUGAAAAUAGGGCUUAAAAUCUCUAUUUGAUGUUCAUAUGAGCCAGUUUUUUGAAGUUAGUCAAUUAUAGUUUAAUCUUGUUCAGUGAAUUUCAUGCCUGCUUAGUGUGUUAAUCAUGUCGUUUGAUUGUUAGUUGAUUUAGAUUAGGCAUCAAACUUGCUUGCGAUUAAUAUAUGUCCUGUUUUUGAAGAUCAUAUUUAGUUAAUAAUGUUUCAUGAGUUUGGAUCUGGAUAGAUGACCUGUGGUAUGUUAGCGAUGUUGUCGCCUCAGUUAAGUAUGCAUAUAUUGAAUGCAGCCCUGUCUAAGUUAGAUUUUCCUGUUUGAAAGGCCACAGAUUUUAAUGAACUUGAAAUCAGAAUACUGUGUGUGAUCAGUGUUGUCCAUUUUGUUAAAUGUGCUCAGGCAGUUUAGUGAUGAGUUAAAACUGUCCCUACAUGUCUCUAGAUUUGAGCUAAAACUCCCUAAGGUCCUUUUAUAUGAUUUAAUUUGGGUAUGCCUUUGAACAACUAAAGGUGAAACUAAGUUAAGUUAUGGGUGAAUUUUAAACUUGUUUAAACUGUCUGGUAAUAGCAACCCCUUCAUCUUGUCGGAUCAGACUAUGGAUAAGUUCUAUAAAAUUGAAAGGGGGAAUAAAUAGACAGCCUUUGUUGUUAUGGAUGAGAUUUUGAAGUUUGAAACAUGAUUUAUUCCGAUUACUAAGCAUUUGAAAUAGUUUACAUAUAGCAUUAUAAAACGAAUAUGUUCGACAUACACUUUGCUUCCCCUUCAUCUGAAAAACCGAAACAUAUCCUUACCUUUAUUUCAUUUGUCUAAAUACUCGUGUGUUGGUUUUGACACUGUUUGGUUUGAGUUUGAGUGAAGGAUUGAUUUCAUGAUUCAUCCGCCUUCUUAAGUAAAAAGGAUGGCAUUAAAGUUUGCUCCUUUCUUCCUCUAUCGAUUUUUUUAUGUGCUAAGUUCUUUGUCCAAGAUAUGACGAGUUCCAUUUAGUCUCUUCUUCCACUCAACUGCUCAUGUGCUAUUAAAAGGAAAGCAGGGAAAUAUUACAUAACAGUUUGUAGAAGAAAGUAGAAAUCACUAUUGAUUGUAUGCUUAUGUUUAUCAUUAGAAGUGCAACUUGUGAAUUUUCAGAGUCAUCUUGUUAAUUUAAGAACCAAAGUAUAACUGGGAAGUUUCUCCAAGUUUUGGUAUGUUGAAACAGUCUGAUAAAGAGGGAGCUGGAUCAGCUAUAUAUUCAUCUAGAUCUUAUUUUAAUUGAACCAGUUUAACGCAUAGGAAUUAUAGGGUCUAGGUAUAUUGAAUUCUUUUUUUUUUUCAAACGGGUAUAAACAUCUAAGUGCAGCAUUUCCUUUUGAGUCUGGUAAGUUGAUGUACAAUAUGCACCAGAUCCCGAGAAAUUGGCAAAUUGUAUCAGCCGUGCGCUGUUGGUGUUAUCAAGAGAUAUAAUUCAAAAAGUUUGCCUUCUAACCGUGUCCAAAUUUAACUUCUUGUGAUCUUAUUGCUUGAGCAGUCACUGCCCCCAAAAAAUAUUCAUUGAAGCCCAAAAUUUCUUUUUUCUUUUUUUUUUUCCCUCUAUUUCCUGUUUCUCUUUGAAUCUUGUUAGACAUUUUGCGGGUUACAUUUUAAUGAUUCCAUCUCGUCUAUUUAUUUUCCAUAUCCAAAUCUGCUUCUCGUUCUAAUCCUUUUCCUUCUUUUUUUUUUAUUUGUUUCGCAUGUACACCGGAGCCGAAGAGUCUCAUUUGAGACUCAACGACACCACUUACGGAAGCCCGCAUAUCAUUCACCGUCUUCGCUUUUACUUUGCUUAAGCGGAAAAAUGCAGAAUGUUGCCACUACUUCGUGAAUCCCGAAAUGGCUCUCGUCAUUCCAUGUUGCCAUUGUAUUUAUCUGAUGGUGUGAUUAAGCUUGCUUAUAUGACUAACCUCUUUAUUUCCAUUUUUUAUGUCAUUGAUUGAUUAACGUGAGGCACUAUAUAGUUAUAGCCAAAUUUUA
Lycium barbarum (goji berry) is the source of this 6115-nucleotide long non-coding RNA. RefSeq lists it as uncharacterized. The transcript is spliced from 2 exons. The record is from RefSeq and is a predicted model, not a curated record. Lineage: Eukaryota; Viridiplantae; Streptophyta; Magnoliopsida; Solanales; Solanaceae.